RNAcentral lists this unclassified non-coding RNA (401 nucleotides) under plant metagenome. RNAcentral's name for it is "partial contains 5.8S ribosomal RNA, internal transcribed spacer 2, and large subunit ribosomal RNA". The record is from RNAcentral.
GGGCGGCGACGAUGGCGGGCGCUCCUGGGCUUUCAGCGUGUAGUACGCAGGGGAGCCCCCCGGGGCCUCGAGAGUGAGGUCAUGAUCUCGCUGAAGCACGUGGAGGCAGCGCCGUCAUGAGCUCGACGCAAUAUCGGGAAGCUUAGUUCGGUGCGAUGGUCACUUGGUGCAAUUGCCCGUCGUCGUCGAGCCGCGCAGACUUGCGCACGAUAUGCACGCCGGGCGUAAGGACAGGAGGGUCCCAUGGCCAUCGAUAUCCUCGACUUACUCAAGUCCGCCUUUGGCAGUCCCGUGACACGUCAGGUGAGUACCGUUUUUGGAGACUCUGAAGAAGCCACACGCAGCGGCCUGCGUUCGAGCUUCUCGGCACUGCUUGCCGGUGUCGUGCACAAGAGCACCAC